Molecule: ribosomal RNA, 860 nt
Filed under: uncultured bacterium
Lineage: Bacteria
Description: bacterial SSU rRNA
Rfam family: Bacterial small subunit ribosomal RNA
Source: RNAcentral
GAUUGUUGAUCCUGGCUCAGGAUGAACGCUAGCGGCAGGCCUAACACAUGCAAGUCGAGGGGUAGAUGUCUUCGGACAUUGAGACCGGCGCACGGGUGCGUAACGCGUAUGCAAUCUACCUUGUACAGAGGGAUAGCCCAGAGAAAUUUGGAUUAAUACCUCAUAGCAUUAUUGAAUGGCAUCAUUUAAUAAUUAAAGUUCCAACGGUACAAGAUGAGCAUGCGUCCUAUUAGCUAGUUGGUGUGGUAACGGCAUACCAAGGCUACGAUAGGUAGGGGUCCUGAGAGGGAGAUCCCCCACACUGGUACUGAGACACGGACCAGACUCCUACGGGAGGCAGCAGUGAGGAAUAUUGGACAAUGGGCGCAAGCCUGAUCCAGCCAUGCCGCGUGCAGGAAGACGCAUCUAUGGUGUGUAAACUGCUUUUGUACGGGAAGAAACACUCUCUCGUGAGGGAGCUUGACGGUACCGUAAGAAUAAGGAUCGGCUAACUCCGUGCCAGCAGCCGCGGUAAUACGGAGGAUCCAAGCGUUAUCCGGAAUCAUUGGGUUUAAAGGGUCCGUAGGCGGUUUAAUAAGUCAGUGGUGAAAGCCCAUCGCUCAACGAUGGAACGGCCAUUGAUACUGUUAGACUUGAAUUAUUGUGAAGUAACUAGAAUAUGUAGUGUAGCGGUGAAAUGCUUAGAUAUUACAUGGAAUACCAAUUGCGAAGGCAGGUUACUAACAAUAUAUUGACGCUGAUGGACGAAAGCGUGGGGAGCGAACAGGAUUAGAUACCCUGGUAGUCCACGCUGUAAACGAUGGAUACUAGCUGUUGGGAGCAAUUUCAGUGGCUAAGCGAAAGUGAUAAGUUCCCACCUG